RNAcentral lists this ribosomal RNA (468 nucleotides) under uncultured Solirubrobacterales bacterium. RNAcentral describes it as "bacterial SSU rRNA". It matches the Rfam family "Bacterial small subunit ribosomal RNA", at positions 337 to 797 of the family's 1533-position model. Lineage: Bacteria; Bacillati; Actinomycetota; Thermoleophilia; Solirubrobacterales. The record is from RNAcentral.
GCCUACGGGAGGCAGCAGUGGGGAAUCUUGCGCAAUGCGCGAAAGCGUGACGCAGCAACACCGCGUGAGGGAAGACGGCCUUAGGGUUGUAAACCUCUUUCAGAUGGGACGAAGGUUGUCCGGUGAAUAGCCGAGAUGAUUGACGGUACCGUCAGAAGAAGCUCCGGCUAACUACGUGCCAGCAGCCGCGGUAAUACGUAGGGAGCGAGCGUUGUCCGGAAUCAUUGGGCGUAAAGAGCAUGUAGGUGGAUCAAUUAGUCUGCUGUGAAAGUCGAAGGCUCAACCGUCGAAAGCCGGUGGAUACUGUUGGUCUAGAGUACGGAAGAGGCGAGUGGAAUUCCUGGUGUAGCGGUGGAAUGCGCAGAUAUCAGGAGGAACACCAAUAGCGAAGGCAGCUCGCUGGGACGUUACUGACACUGAGAUGCGAAAGCGUGGGGAGCAAACAGGAUUAGAUACCCCAGUAGUCCU